GGGCGGAUGUGCAAUCUUCACCUGUUUAUUCGGUAGAGGGUGCCAUCUUCAGGUAGCCCUUCACGUUGUACAGAAAACAAUGGAGACUUCUCCUCCUGGGGCAGAACCUCUGUCACCCUUUCAUCUCCAGUGGUGUCACCUUUCCUAAACUUCAGAGAUGUUGCUUCAACUUACAGCUCAGAUAACAAGUGCCACUUCCAGGCUAAAGGAAUCCAUUCAGCAAACUCCCAGUAUGAAUGUUUCUGCUCUCGGCUGGAGAAACAGAAGAAGCAUUAAUGGAGGAGGAGAGGGAUUCUAGAGCAGCACAGUCUAAUACAACUUUCUGUGGGGAUGGAAAUGAUCCAUUAUCUGUGCUGCCCAAUAUGCCAGAUGCUAGCUCCAAUUAGCUACUGAGCACUUAAAAUGUGACUAGCACAGCUGAGAAACAGCCUUUCAUUUUAUUUCACUUUAAUUAAAGAGUUCUAGAGCUCCUGCCUCUA
RNAcentral lists this non-coding RNA (479 nucleotides) under Pongo abelii (Sumatran orangutan). The record is from RNAcentral. Lineage: Eukaryota; Metazoa; Chordata; Mammalia; Primates; Hominidae.